GACGAACGCUGGCGGCGUGCUUAACACAUGCAAGUCGAACGGAAAGGCCCUGCUUUUGUGGGGUGCUCGAGUGGCGAACGGGUGAGUAACACGUGAGUAACCUGCCCUUGACUUUGGGAUAGCUUCAGGAAACUGGGGCUACUACCGGAUAGGAGCUCCUGCUGCAUGGUGGGGGUUGGAAAGUUUCGGCGGUUGGGGAUGGACUCGCGGCUUAUCAGCUUGUUGGUGGGGUAGUGGCUUACCAAGGCUUUGACGGGUAGCCGGCCUGGGAGGGUGACCGGCGACAUUGGGACUGAGAUACGGCCCAGACUCCUACGGGAGGCAGCAGUGGGGAAUAUUGCACAAUGGGCGGAAGCCUGAUGCAGCAACGCCGCGGGCGGGAUGACGGCCUUCGGGGUGUAAACCGCUUUCGCCUGUGACGAAGCGUGAGUGACGGUAAUGGGUAAAGAAGCACCGGCUAACUACGUG
This 468-nucleotide ribosomal RNA is filed under the name uncultured bacterium. Its description in RNAcentral is "partial 16S ribosomal RNA". It matches the Rfam family "Bacterial small subunit ribosomal RNA", at positions 28 to 507 of the family's 1533-position model. The record is from RNAcentral.